CUGCCCUGCCUCUUUCCUGUCUGUGCUGCGUGCCCCAAGUCAGAGUGUUGGGUCCCCACGGAGAGAAGUGAUGGACUACUAUGAUUACUCAGAAGUCUCUCUAAUCCUGUCACCUUUCCUCUGGCCAUAGACAAUAGGAGGACCAGGAGAGGACAAUGGCCAGACCUAAGGGGCAGAGAUGGUCUCUCUACUGGACGGGACCCUUCCCAUUUGAAAUAGAGUAGCUGUGAUCACCUACACAAGACCUUCAUGAGAUCUGGCCUGUUAAUGUUCCUGCAUGGAGGAAUAGGAAGAAUUCACCAGGCUUAGAAGAGACAGGGUUCCCCAACAUCCUCACAUGGUCCCUCCUCUCCCCAAGAUACUAAUCACCACUAUAUCUGAAAUAAAGGUUGACUGGG
This is a long non-coding RNA of Mesocricetus auratus (golden hamster), 398 nucleotides long. RefSeq lists it as uncharacterized. NCBI's taxonomy places the organism in Eukaryota, Metazoa, Chordata, Mammalia, Rodentia, Cricetidae. The record is from RefSeq and is a predicted model, not a curated record. The transcript is spliced from 3 exons.